RNAcentral lists this ribosomal RNA (65 nucleotides) under Staphylococcus pseudintermedius. RNAcentral's name for it is "partial 23S ribosomal RNA". Lineage: Bacteria; Bacillati; Bacillota; Bacilli; Caryophanales; Staphylococcaceae. The record is from RNAcentral.
GUUCGAGGUGGAAGCGUAGUGAUACGUGGAGCUGACGAAUACUAAUCGAUCGAAGACUUAAUCAA